GACGAACGCUGGCGGCGUGCUUAACACAUGCAAGUCGAACGGAAAGGCCCUGCUUUUGUGGGGUGCUCGAGUGGCGAACGGGUGAGUAACACGUGAGUAACCUGCCCUUGACUUUGGGAUAACUUCGGGAAACUGGGGCUAAUACCGGAUAGGAGCUCCUGCUGCAUGGUGGGGGUUGGAAAGUUUCGGCGGUUGGGGAUGGACUCGCGGCUUAUCAGCUUGUUGGUGGGGUAGUGGCUUACCAAGGCUUUGACGGGUAGCCGGCCUGAGAGGGUGACCGGCCACAUUGGGACGGAGAUGCGGCCCAGACUACUACGGGAGGCAGCAGUGGGGAAUAGUGCACAAUGGGCUGAAGCAUGAUGCAGCAACGCCGCGUGCGGGAUGACGGCCUUCGGGUUGUAAACCGCUUUCGCCUGUGACGAAGCGUGAGUGACGGUAAUGGGUAAAGAAGCACCGGCUAACUACGUG
Molecule: ribosomal RNA, 468 nt
Filed under: uncultured bacterium
Lineage: Bacteria
Description: partial 16S ribosomal RNA
Rfam family: Bacterial small subunit ribosomal RNA
Source: RNAcentral